CGCUGGAACGGCGUCUAAUACUGGAUACGAACCGUGGAGGCAUCUUCAACGGUUGGAAAGAUUUUUUGGUCAGGGAUGAGCUCGCGGCCUAUCAGCUUGUUGGUGAGGUAAUGGCUCACCAAGGCGUCGACGGGUAGCCGGCCUGAGAGGGUGACCGGCCACACUGGGACUGAGACACGGCCCAGACUCCUACGGGAGGCAGCAGUGGGGAAUAUUGCACAAUGGGCGAAAGCCUGAUGCAGCAACGCCGCGUGAGGGAUGACGGCCUUCGGGUUGUAAACCUCUUUUAGCAGGGAAGAAGCGAAAGUGACGGUACCUGCAGAAAAAGCGCCGGCUAACUACGUGCCAGCAGCCGCGGUUAAUACGA
This 367-nucleotide ribosomal RNA is filed under the name Microbacterium sp. ECI-12A. RNAcentral's name for it is "bacterial SSU rRNA". It matches the Rfam family "Bacterial small subunit ribosomal RNA", at positions 148 to 528 of the family's 1533-position model. The record is from RNAcentral. Lineage: Bacteria; Bacillati; Actinomycetota; Actinomycetes; Micrococcales; Microbacteriaceae.